CCCUAUUAACAUAAAACCCCAAAAGGGAGAUCUAGCUACACAUAAGAUAAAUAAGCAUAUAUAAACCCAUAAUCUCCAUUGAAGUGAUCUAUUGAAGCUUGAGUGAAUGUUAAUUCAAACUUGACACUCCAACAAAUCAACAAUGAUGUGAUCUAAUAUUCCACUUUGAAAAUCUCCAAUGUAUUCUUCACCCAAACAUUAUACAAUUUUUCCUUCUCAAAAAUGGAGGCUAUGAACUCAAGAGCUAGACAUAAAAGUUGGGGAAGAUGGAAUUAUGAUACAUGAUACUAGGGUUUGACUUUUUUUUUCGUAAAAUUGGGAUCCGCCAGAUGAAUUUCUAGUUUUACCCUGGGGCUACCGUCUUCCGCUAAUCCGCAAUUGCAUUAUCUUGGCCGUGACCACGGCCUCCGUAACCAUGGUUGAUUUUCUCUACUUGACUGCCAUAAUUGGGCCAGCAGACUGCGAUUGCAGUAACUGAGGCCCUUCUACUCCAAGUCUUUAGCUUCACUUUUUUGAUCCCUUUUUGAUCAUUUUAAGCUUUAAUCCACAUCUUUCUAUCCCCUCAAUUCUAUGCCUGCAAAGAGUGGAUGUUAGUGCAUUAAAUUAAAAUUGUGUCUUAUUUAUUCAUUCAAAACAAGGUAAUGUGCACGAAUAUUGAGUGCGAAUGAGUGGUAUAAUUACCAUAUAUCAACACCCCAAUUAAAACAUUUUCUUGUCCUCAAGCAAGCUACCCUUACCAUGAGACAACAAUCAUCUAUACCCAAACUUUAUGCCUUAAAACUCACAAUAACUCAACUUUAGUCGCUACCACAAGUAGGUCACUACACAUUGGCUAAGGUAAUUUCCACUACACCUCUCAUCGUAAGAAGAACCAUUGAAGGAUACAUAGGACUUUAAAGAGAAACCAAG
Molecule: long non-coding RNA, 909 nt
Filed under: Capsicum annuum
Lineage: Eukaryota; Viridiplantae; Streptophyta; Magnoliopsida; Solanales; Solanaceae
Description: long non-coding RNA (CANN_LNC014103)
Source: RNAcentral